CAAUAGCAUAUAUUAACGUUGUUGCAGUUGAAAAGCUCGUAGUUGAACUUUUGGUAGGAGCGACCUGACCUUGGGCGCAUGCCCUUGUUUGCCGUGUGUCGUAUCUGGCCAUCCUUUUCCGUUUCGGCGGGAAUCCUUUACUGUGAGUAAACUGGAGUGCUCAAAACAAGACGUUUGUUUGGUACAUUAAAGCAUGGAAUAAUAAGAUAGGACCUGGUUACUAUUUUGUUGGUUUGCAUAGCUAGGUAAUGAUUAACAGGGACAGUUGGGGGUAUUCGUAUUUAAUUGUCAGAGGUGAAAUUCUUGGAUUUAUGAAAGACGAACGACUGCGAAAGCAUUUACCAAGGAUGGUUUCAUUAA
Molecule: ribosomal RNA, 360 nt
Filed under: uncultured eukaryote
Lineage: Eukaryota
Description: partial 18S ribosomal RNA
Rfam family: Eukaryotic small subunit ribosomal RNA
Source: RNAcentral